AUUGAACGCUGGCGGCAGGCCUAACACAUGCAAGUCGAACGAGUGGCGGACGGGUGAGUAAUGUCUGGGAAACUGCCCGAUGGAGGGGGAUAACUACUGGAAACGGUAGCUAAUACCGCAUACCAUCGGAUGUGCCCAGAUGGGAUUAGCUCGGAGGUGGGGUAAAGGGUCACCUAGGCGCCGAUCCCUAGCUGGUCUGAGAGGAUGACCAGCCACACUGGAACUGAGACACGGUCCAGAAUCCUAAGGGAGGCAGCAGUGGGGAAGAUUGCACAAUGGGCGCAAGCCUGAUGCAGCCAUGCCGCGUGUAUGAAGAAGGCCCUCGGGGUGUAAAGGACUUUCAGCGGGGAGGCGUUACCCGCAGAAGAAGCACCGGCCAACUCCGUGCCAGCCGCCGCGGUAAUUC
This 406-nucleotide ribosomal RNA is filed under the name uncultured bacterium. RNAcentral's name for it is "partial 16S ribosomal RNA". It matches the Rfam family "Bacterial small subunit ribosomal RNA", at positions 29 to 526 of the family's 1533-position model. The record is from RNAcentral.